This is a long non-coding RNA of Folsomia candida, 569 nucleotides long. RefSeq lists it as uncharacterized. The record is from RefSeq and is a predicted model, not a curated record. NCBI's taxonomy places the organism in Eukaryota, Metazoa, Arthropoda, Collembola, Entomobryomorpha, Isotomidae. The transcript has 3 exons.
UUUUACGUUACAUAAUUUAUGAACGGCCCCUAAUGAUCGAACUAAUUCUUUAGUGAGCAAGCGAUUAAUUCGGAUAAAAUCCCUUCUCGACAAUUGCACAACCGCGCCGCAAGUUGAUCCCUUCGAUCCAGCUGACCUCUACGAAUAUGACGUGGUAGCAAAGAAGUCAUUUGCAGAAUUUAAAAAUUUUUUGGGGGGUCUGGGGAGAAGCCGAGAUUUUGUUGACUUUGUCCAAGUUUACUUUGAUCGUCGACCAGAUCUGGAAAACCAGCGUGAAAAUUUCACCACGGCGCUGUCCCACUACGGGUGCAUUUAUGUGCUAAAAAAAGGGAAAGAUAAGCACAUGGCUAGCUGCUUGCUUGGAAGACGCGUGUCCAAUCGUGACCCCUAGUAUCACCCAAAACAACCCGAGAGCCCAGAGUUAAGAGAAAGGCUGGUGUCAUGGAGCAAAAUCUGGAGUAGGAAAAAGUUGGAUCCAAUUAAUAGAAUCAAAAAGUACCCGUUUUCACAUAAUAAGUAUAUUUCAAAGUUCCCAUUCAAAAUUUUUUACUAUCACAAUGUCUGUUCCA